UUCACUAGUAUUUUCAGUAUAGCAUGUCCAUUCACCUUUUCUUUCAGGAUGUUGGUUGCACAGAAGAGUUUUGCUUUUUAACAUUCUUAAAGCCAUAAUGUUGUCGGUAUAAAUCUGAAAGUUGUUCUAAACAGGACUUGACGGUUCUACGGGUUCGAGUACUGGAAGCAUCCUUUCGUAGAUUAUUCUGCAAGAUAAGUUUUGCCUACAAUACUCCUUCGUGGUGGGACCUUUUCUUGUAUUCCGCUCAACAGGUUGCUUUGUGCACCAGGCUGCCCUUUCGUAGGAAGCUUCUCCAACAGCAUCAGCAGCCACCAUGUCAGGUUGCAUUUAUGGAAGCUCUUGGGACCCUGUUUCAGAACUUCACCCACGAUUACACUAGUCAGCCAAUUUCUCAGAGGAUGCAUCUGGCUUCUCUUUGGACAUGGGCCCCUGCGUGGAGGAGCAAUGAUUGUUUUGUUUGCAUUUGCAUAUUGCUGGCUGGAGUAUAAAUGAAAGUGGCUUUAGACCAUGUGAUGGAAUUGGCCUGUGGAGGAAGCUACUGUCAGAAUAUUGAAGAGGGCAGUGAGACUAGAGUCAAGGAAGGGCAGGGGAAGGAGGACUCGGCAUCGGAGGAGGAGGAGCAGUGGGUGUAACAGGAAGAGGAGAAGGAGCUUUAGACUCUGCCACUAUGGAG
Long non-coding RNA from Tarenaya hassleriana, 676 nucleotides. RefSeq lists it as uncharacterized. NCBI's taxonomy places the organism in Eukaryota, Viridiplantae, Streptophyta, Magnoliopsida, Brassicales, Cleomaceae. The record is from RefSeq and is a predicted model, not a curated record. The transcript is spliced from 3 exons.